UACGGGGGGGGCAAGCGUUGUUCGGAAUUACUGGGCGUAAAGGGCUCGUAGGUGGCCAACUAAGUCAGACGUGAAAUCCCCAGGCUUAACCUGGGAACUGCGUCGGAUACUGGAUGGCUUGAAUUCGGGAGAGGGAUGCGGAAUUCCAGGUGUAGCGGUGAAAUGCGUAGAUAUCUGGAGGAACACCGGUGGCGAAGGCGGCAUCCUGGACCAACACUGACGCUGAGUGAGCGAAAGCCAGGGGAGCAAACGGG
Molecule: ribosomal RNA, 254 nt
Filed under: uncultured bacterium
Lineage: Bacteria
Description: partial 16S ribosomal RNA
Rfam family: Bacterial small subunit ribosomal RNA
Source: RNAcentral